AGCAGUCGCCGCGGUAAUACAGAGGGUGCGAGCGUUAAUCGGAUUUACUGGGCGUAAAGCGUGCGUAGGCGGCUAAUUGAGUCGGAUGUGAAAUCCCCGAGCUUAACUUGGGAAUUGCAUUCGAUACUGGUUAGCUAGAGUGUGGGAGAGGAUGGUAGAAUUCCAGGUGUAGCGGUGAAAUGCGUAGAGAUCUGGAGGAAUACCGAUGGCGAAGGCAGCCAUCUGGCCUAACACUGACGCUGAGGUACGAAAGCAUGGGGAGCAAACAGGAUUAGAUACCCCUGUAGUCCCUGUCUCUUAUAC
This 303-nucleotide ribosomal RNA is filed under the name uncultured bacterium. RNAcentral describes it as "partial 16S ribosomal RNA". It matches the Rfam family "Bacterial small subunit ribosomal RNA", at positions 507 to 807 of the family's 1533-position model. The record is from RNAcentral.